CCUACGGGAGGCAGCAGUGAGGAAUAUUGGUCAAUGGGCGCGAGCCUGAACCAGCCAAGUCGCGUGAGGGAAGACGGUCCUAUGGAUUGUAAACCUCUUUUGUCGGGGAGCAAAAGACGCCACGUGUGGCGUUCCGAGAGUACCCGAAGAAAAAGCAUCGGCAAACACCGUGCCAGCAGCCGCGGUAAUACGGAGGAUGCGAGCGUUAUCCGGAUUUAUUGGGGUUAAGGGGUGCGCAGGCGGAAGAUCAAGUCAGCGGUAAAAUUGAGAGGCUCAACCUCUUCGAGCCGUUGAAACUGGUUUGCUUGAGUGAGCGAGAAGUAUGCGGAAUGCGUGGUGUAGCGGUGAAAUGCAUAGAGAUCACGCAGAACACCGAUUGCGAAGGCAGCAUACCGGCGCUCAACUGACGCUCAUGCACGAAAGUGUGGGUAUCGAACAGGAUUAGAUACCCGAGUAGUC
RNAcentral lists this ribosomal RNA (459 nucleotides) under uncultured bacterium. RNAcentral describes it as "partial 16S ribosomal RNA". It matches the Rfam family "Bacterial small subunit ribosomal RNA", at positions 338 to 795 of the family's 1533-position model. The record is from RNAcentral.